Molecule: long non-coding RNA, 3140 nt
Filed under: Sus scrofa (pig)
Lineage: Eukaryota; Metazoa; Chordata; Mammalia; Artiodactyla; Suidae
Description: lncRNA (ENSSSCG00030019756.1)
Source: RNAcentral
GGAGAGGGAGCUGCGGUGAGGAGCCGGGAGCGCUAGGGAAGGGGUUUGGCGAAGGGCCCCAAAGACACUCAGACCUUGACGGCGCUGGCGGUGCCCCUUAACGCGCCCGGAUUUUCCCAAAUGACCCAGAAUCGCCGCAACCUCCAGAAAUGCUGGCGGGGUGCACUGCCCAGGAGGUACAACUUUGGAAAUGAUGACGAGUGAGGUGAAGUAAACUCGAGACCCAAGGAGGAUGUACCACAAGCUAGGGCAAAGGAGAGGAAAAGCACACAUGAGGAAGAUGCUAACCCUACAGAUGACUGCUCAGAAAUGACCAUCUUCUCUGAAGAACAGCUUAUCUGCAACAACAUUGUAAAUCAACUAUACUUUAAUAAAAAAAAAAGAUUUUUUUAAAGAAUAGCAUAUCUGAUCUCCAAAUAUUAGAACAUAUCACCAUCAUUCUCAUUCAGAAUAUUCCUCCCUUUCUUUCCCUGAUCCAAAGCAGUUCUUGGCCUCUCUGAGAUCCUGACUGGAUACAGGAAGUGAUCACUGCACACACAUACCACCACCCCACCCCACCCUGCCGCCUGCCAGGUAUCACUCCUUUAAUACAAAUGCCACAUGCCCGUACUCUGGCAGCAUAGAUACAUGUAAUCCGUAUACAACACACCAGAAGUCACCAUUAUAUCCAUACACUUUCCACUAGCUGAAAUGCAACCCAUGUUCAGAUGAUGCAAGGACAUUCCAACCACAGUGGCCUCCUUUAUUAUCUGUCUCCCCCACUAGAGUCUAUGUUCCAUGAAAGCAGAGACAAGUUUUUAUUCGCUGCUGGGUACCCAGCACCAAGCAAGGUGACUGACACAUAAUAGCAGAGUAGGUGCUCACCUAACAUUUAGUGAACGAGUAACAGAUUGAAAGAAGCAAAACAUGAAUUGUUUUUCUAGAAAUUAGUCUCCUAUACCUGGAUGCAAUGGGAGAAAGCAAAUUGAAAGAAGAUGCUAAGUAAUUUGGUUUGUUUUCCCCCUUCAGGCAGAUCGUUUCUGUAUAUAUAACCUGGAUUCUCCUGACUGACCAGCCAGUCUAAAGGUCCAUGUGACCUUUAAGGACCAGGCCUGUUUUUGCCACAGGCAGGAGGGUUCUAUGCUUUAAUUGCCUGGAGGUUCCAUCCAAACUCAGAUCAGCCAACAGUGCAGUCUGUGAGUGGGGCGGUUACAUCUGUGGCAUUUGGAGAAGUGCCUAGCCCUCCACCAAGCAGACCUCCCGGUACGACACGGUUGGAAACAAGGUAGCACGGGAGACUUAUAUUGCUGCCUAGAAAGGUAGAGCUACUCAUGAAAUGACCUAAAAUAAGAGCCUCUCAACAGACGUACAGAUUAGCAGGAUGGCAGGUACUCGGGAGCACAAGGAUAAAACAAUCAAUUGAUAUCGAAGCAUUUCAGUGUUUCCAAAACCAAUGCAUGUCAGCUGAUUCUUGGUCCUAAGUAUCUGUUGAACUAUAUCGGCCACAGGAUGCCCAAGGAGCCUUCCCUGGAAGCUGUCAUUCCCUGGAAGCUGCCAUUUCCUGGCUUUUAGAUUAGAUACAUAGGCAAGAUCUUUGCCUGGACAUCUAAACACUAUGGUUCUGGCUGAGAGGGCCUUGCUAGGAGGCUCCUCAACUUACAGAGGGUGGAGAAUUUCCCUUAAGUGAGGAUGACAUCAUUGACCUGAAGGUGGAUUCCAGGCAACUGCCCUAUCUAAGGAACAAUCAUUCCUGCAGGUAUGUGACUCACAGCAAGGGAGAAAUUCAGAGACCUCAUCAAGCAGAUCUCUGCUCUCCCGGCCCUGACACAGCCAGCCCCAUCCCUGGGCUAUGUGUAACCCAGCAACAAGGAUGGACACAGGCACCAGGCUGGAUGAGGAAGGUCUGGAGAGAAAAUCUGCAAAGAUGCUGAGCUGCUAAGGGAAGAGGGCUUUUAGAAGAGAUCUAGCAAAUUCUCUGCCCUUUCGACUUCACUUUCUGUUCUCUUUUUCUCUGCUUUCAGUAUUUCCAAUUAAUCUUGGAAUGAGAGCCCAAGGCAACAAGCCAGUGGUGCCUGAGGAAUGCUAGAGAGCAGACUGAGCCAGGGAAGCAAAUGCCAGCGAGGGACCCCACAGCAAAGAGGCAGACACCGUGAGCAUCUCUCCUGAGACCACGAGGCUCGCGAGGCGUGUGUGCGGGUCUCUGUGUUGGCACCAUCUGCCAAUUCCUCGGGAGGACAGAACAACCCAGCGAGGCAUGAAGAUUAGAUUAUGUAAUGCUCGAGGAUUGCUGUUUUCGCAGAGGAAACAAAUGGAACGAAUUGAUUUGCUUGUCAGAGUCAUGUCACUAAAGGAGACCCGUUUCCUCCUCUUCCAAGAGGACCUCAUUAAAGAGGAGGAUGAUUUCACACAGGGAAUGCGAGACCACAAUCAACUCCAUUCACAAGAGCAAGUCCAGUUUCCAGAGUGGCACUGAUAAAUUCUCUUCUGGUCCCCUGGCCUGAAAAGUGACUAUUCAGCCACUAUCUAAAAGGUACCAAUAUAGCGAGGAACAUAACUGCCAGUUGCCAGCCGUGAGAUUCAGAACCCAGGUGCUUUGCCUGAACUGAACUCUCUUGCUUCUGGGGAGUCAGCAUCUAAUUUCAAGACCAGUGGGGUCAUAGGUACUAUUCAGAGCUCUAAAUAAGGGCUUCUUUGAUACAGUGAGAAUGUGUUCUUAAAAAUACAUGCCUCAGGAAGGAGAAUUCAUUGCACUUCUGGGAUUCUUUUGCCAUUGCUGGGCUUCACUCAAAAUACCCAGCACAAUACUUUUUAUAGUAUAUUCAGUAGAUCUGAAGAGUGAACAAAAGAUAACCUUGAACCUACUGCCCAUAGGGCCAUUCCUAAACGUUUCAUUGUUUGGCAUUCCUGUUGUGGUGCAGCAUAAAUGAAUCCAACUAGGAACCAUGAGGUUGCAGGUUUGAUCCCUGGCCUUGCUCAGUGGGUUUAGGAUCCAGCAUUGCUGUGAGCUGUGGUGUAGGUCACAGACACAGCUUGGAUCCUGCAUUGCUGUGGCUGUGGCUGUGGCUGGCAGCUGUAGCUCCAGUUGGACCCCUAGCCUGGGAACUUCCAUAUGCCCUGGGUACAGCCCUAAAAAGCAAAAAAAAAAAAAAAAAAAAAAAAAA